GCGCGCAAAUUAGAAAAUAAAAAGACCACUACCGGAUUCGUUUCAGUGUCCACGACGGUUGACCCCCAUCGAGUUCGAGAGAGACCUUUGCCCGUCUGAUUCAUCAAGAAACCCGAGAACAUGGCCUAUUACCCAGAACAAGCGUACCCGGAAGCGGCAGCGUACCCGGAGUACUCUGCAUUCCCGGAGUUUUCGGAGGUCGAGAACCAGUACGGUGCUCCCCAACUUUCGGGGUAUACCGCAUGUAAGAAUUUGUCUAUAAAUGAUUGUGCAAAACAUUUCGGAGUAGUCGUUCUACAUUGGCGGAAUGAUACACUCACUCAAUCACAGUAAGAAAU
Dermacentor albipictus is the source of this 338-nucleotide long non-coding RNA. RefSeq lists it as uncharacterized. Lineage: Eukaryota; Metazoa; Arthropoda; Arachnida; Ixodida; Ixodidae. The record is from RefSeq and is a predicted model, not a curated record.